GGAGCCAAAUGACAUACAAAUAUAUAAAGUAAAAAAUAUUUUAUUUGGCAAAAGUACAAAAUUGUACGGCCACGGCUUGACAAAGAAUGGGACUGCCGAGAAACAUAAUUGGCAAGUCCCUAGUAUAUAUAAUUAAACCUUAUAGUCCAUUCCUUAUUCCUUAUUUCCACAUUAUUGUCCAUUCCUUAUUCCUUAUUUCCACAUUAUUGUCCAUUCCUUAUUCCUUAUUUCCACAUUAUUGUCCAUUCCUUAUUCCUUAUUUCCACAUUAUUCUUAUUCCUUAUUUCCACCUUAUUGUUAUUCCUUAUAAUGUCAUUUCCUUAUAUAUCAAUAUAAUAUCCUUAUUAACAUUAUUGCUUCCAAAAUAUAUCGGAUGCUGGCCCUGGGAAACAGAAGCUCAGCGGAUACAUAAUUCCAUUAUAAGAAGCAUAAUAUAUUUGUAGAUGUUGUGUCGCUAUUUUCGCCAUUAAAUGGUCGGAGUCUUUGUCUGAAGCCGUGACGAAGGAUUGGGAUUACAAUGGUCGGAGUCUUUGUCUGAAGCCGUGACGAAGGAUUGGGAUUACAAUCGGAAUAAGCUACCAGUCAUUUCAACCUAAAAAAUAGAACAAAAACAGCAGAAAAACGAACAACAUGAUAUAACAUAAUAUAACAUUUAACACAUGUAUAUUAACUACAUUUUAGGAGUAUGUCUUUUAUCUAAGUGGUGGGUGGGUGGGUAACUUUUGAAACAAACAUUAGUUAAUUCAUACGGAACCCAAUUUUUUGCGUCUUCCCUCUGCUGUAUCGUACGUGGUAAAGAAAGAAUGAUGACGUCACAGUUAUCAAGGUUAAAAUAAUUAACGUGACUCAUAAUACAUAACAAGUUCCACCACGUGUUCAAAGCGGGACAACUCCCAAAACGUAAGCCCACUUUCCUCCGAUAACCGGAUUUAUUCUUCAUAGGAAUAAAUCUUAUUAUCUGAGACAACGUGGGGCCAAAUGACAUACAAAUAUAUAAAGUAAGAAAUAUUUUAUUUGGCAAAAGUACAAAAUUGUACGGCCACGGCUUGACAAAGAAUGGGACUGCCGAGAAACAUAAUUGGCAAGUCCCUAGUAUAUAUAAUUAAACCUUAUAGUCCAUUCCUUAUUCCUUAUUUCCACAUUAUUGUCCAUUCCUUAUUCCUUAUUUCCACAUUAUUGUCCAUUCCUUAUUCCUUAUUUCCACAUUAUUGUCCAUUCCUUAUUCCUUAUUUCCACAUUAUUCUUAUUCCUUAUUUCCACCUUAUUGUUAUUCCUUAUAAUGUCAUUUCCUUAUAUAUCAAUAUAAUAUCCUUAUUAACAUUAUUGCUUCCAAAAUAUAUCGGAUGCUGGCCCUGGGGAAACAGAAGCUCAGCGGAUACAUAAUUCCAUUAUAAGAAGCAUAAUAUAUUUGUAGAUGUUGUGUCGCUAUUUUCGCCACAUGGUCGAAUUCAGUGGCUAUGCCAAGAGUUAUUGGACACUGAGUUCGACCACCGCCACAAAUGCGGUAGCGACACAACACACCCGCCGUGACCGUACUUUUAAAUGACCACACACAUAUAUUUAUAUUUAAAUUACCCUGUAAUGAAAUAAGAAAAAAAAAAACAAUUGCCCACAUGAGAUAAAGUAACGCCGUCAGAUGUGAAUAUAUCGGGCUUAUUAUAUAUUUCAGGCUAUUUUAUGUAACAACCUCCCAAUUGUAUAUAUAGCUAAGCGGCAAAGGUGUACAUUCUUGUGGCUGCUUUAUUCAUGCUUAUUGGUUUUUACCAUAUCUCCGAUUCAAAAUGAAACUGAAUCCAUUAUUCCUACAUGUAUUCAAACUUUUAAAACUUAGAACACAUGAACACUGGUACUUGUCACCAAAGUCAGAGAAUAAGGAGACUUUAACCUUUGGUCUUUGCAUUUCAUAUUUUUUACAAAUAAAUUAGACAAUAUUCUAGUUUAGUUUCUGUUAUUUCUAUACAU
This 1962-nucleotide long non-coding RNA is filed under the name Mytilus galloprovincialis (Mediterranean mussel). The record is from RNAcentral. Lineage: Eukaryota; Metazoa; Mollusca; Bivalvia; Mytilida; Mytilidae.